GUGUGUUGCUCUCAUUUUCGAAGCUUUGUUUUAAGCUCCCUCAUUAAUCUUUCAGUCUUUUCCCAUCUCUGCCUGACUAUAACUGCCCUGAAUUUAUCCAAGCCUGCAGAAUGCCAGGCUCACUGGAGUCUAAAUCACCAAGAGCUGAAUACACAUUCUACUCAUGGGACUCUACACUUCCAUCAGAAGGAACCAAUCACAGCUUAGGAGAGGAUUCAUUCAUCCAGAAGACUGAACAAAAAGUACAUUUUUGUCUGGAAUACGUAAGAGAUUAUUUUUUAACUUAAUUAAAAUGGCUUGUUAGAAUCACCUAUUCAGCAUAUGGAAAACCAGCUGGGUUAUCCUGUCAAACCUCUGCACAACAUACCUACUGAGACCCAACUUCACGAUUAGAAAGCAAGAGAGUAUAGUGAUGCAAACUGAACUCCGGAACAAGAGUUCAAACUACGGCACUAUCUCCUACCAGCCUCAGGUGACCAACCCUCAAUGUCCUCAUUUGUAAAGUGAAGACUGUGUUAGUAACUAUCUCAUGGAUUACUGGAAGAUUAAAUAAAAUUAUGCAUACAGAGUACCAGAUACAUUAUUGGCCAAGUGUCUCUGAUAUGAAGACAUCCAGAACAACAAUCCAAAUUAACCUUUUGAGAGCCUAAAAAUUAGGACUUAUUUAAGUCUCUUCUGAUUUCUGCCUUCCCCAACAUUUACUACCAUGUUCAUUACUGCAUGCUAAUCUCAACAUUUUUUCCAUAGCUUACAUCAUGACAGAUGUUUUGUCCAGAUUUCACAGUAAAUUUAAUGGGCAAGAAACAGUGCAAUUAUUUAUAAAGUUAUUGUUUGUAGAAGAAAUUACAUUUUCCAAGAAUAUAGCUAGUUAAGUUAUAUAUGUCUUUAUUCCUUCAAUAAGUAUUUCUUUAGUGCCUAUUAUGCACCAUAACAGGUGAAUCACAUACUUUUGCAAAAAGACAAGGCAAUACCUUAUGUGCUAAAUUCUCCCGUCUGCCUGCAUCACACAGUUGUUUGAAAGGAAUGUUACAAUUUUUAUGAGUCAAAUUAAUUAUAUACUAUCUAAAUAUAAAUAUGUACAUACACAUGCACACUACAUACAUAUUUAAAACCCAAUCUCUUUUGGGAAGACAAAAGACCUUUUAGUGGGCUAAAAAAGUCCCUUUGAAAGUUGUCAGUAUAUCUUAUGGAAUGUGCUAAGGAGAUGUGAGUGAGAGACAAGGAAAGAAAAUAGAGCGAUUCUGUUUUUCUGUAGCUGGAUGAGAUUAUGGUGUUUUAUUUGAUUCUGUUUUCUGUAUUAACUUUUAUAGGCAUCCUGUUUUUUACUUCUGUUAGUUAUUUUUAUAACUUUAAUAAACUUUCAAUAAAU
Molecule: long non-coding RNA, 1369 nt
Organism: Sapajus apella (tufted capuchin)
Lineage: Eukaryota; Metazoa; Chordata; Mammalia; Primates; Cebidae
Exons: 3
Source: RefSeq, a predicted model, not a curated record